RNAcentral lists this ribosomal RNA (433 nucleotides) under uncultured bacterium. RNAcentral describes it as "partial 16S ribosomal RNA". It matches the Rfam family "Bacterial small subunit ribosomal RNA", at positions 29 to 507 of the family's 1533-position model. The record is from RNAcentral.
AACGAACGCUGGCGGCAUGCCUAACACAUGCAAGUCGAACGAGACCUUCGGGUCUAGUGGCGCACGGGUGCGUAACGCGUGGGAACCUGCCCUUAGGUUCGGAAUAACUCCCCGAAAGGGGUGCUAAUACCGGAUAAUGUCUUCGGACCAAAGAUUUAUCGACUUUGGAUGGGCCCGCGUUGGAUUAGCUAGUUGGUAGGGUAAAAGCCUACCAAGGCGACGAUCCAUAGCUGGUCUGAGAGGAUGAUCAGCCACACUGGGACUGAGACACGGCCCAGACUCCUACGGGAGGCAGCAGUGGGGAAUAUUGGACAAUGGGCGAAAGCCUGAUCCAGCAAUGCCGCGUGAGUGAUGAAGGCCUUAGGGUUGUAAAGCGCUUUUACCCGGGAUGAUAAUGACAGUACCGGGAGAAUAAGCGCCGGCUAACUCCGUG